RNAcentral lists this unclassified non-coding RNA (420 nucleotides) under Zea mays. RNAcentral's name for it is "misc RNA Zm00001eb208630". The record is from RNAcentral. Lineage: Eukaryota; Viridiplantae; Streptophyta; Magnoliopsida; Poales; Poaceae.
UUGGGGAGGGAGAGGGGAAAUUGGGGCGUGUCCCAGGUUGCGGACGUCGGGGCGAAGCUCACCGUGGCAGAGGGCACGGCGGGGCUCCAACGGCGACGGAGAAACGGGCUCGGGUGGCGGCGGUUAAUGGCGGCGGCGCUUUGGCGUGUGAGCAGCGUGGGGGAGGUGGAAAGGAGGUCUGCAGUAUUCCAGAUUUCCAGCGCCGCUUCCUUUUCUCCAUCGUGCUCUCCUCCGCCUCCGGUCACCAUUAACCUAGCCGCCACUCUCCUCGGUGCGGCGGAGCCCGCCUGCCCGGAUCCCGGACACCGGGGCGACCUCAAGUGUUCCACAUGCAUCAUGGGACACGACGCUCACCGCUCGCUAUCGCUGGCGGACUACGGACGACUGGAGCUGGAUUUCUGUGGAGAAGUGGAUUGCUGA